UACGUAGGGUGCGAGCGUUAAUCGGAAUUACUGGGCGUAAAGCGUGCGUAGGCGGUUCGCUAAGUCCUGUGUGAAAGCCCCGGGCUCAACUCGGGAAUGGCAUGGGAAACUGACGAGCUGGAGUGUGGCAGAGGGGGGUGGAAUUCCGCGUGUAGCAGUGAAAUGCGUAGAGAUGCGGAGGAACACCGAUGGCGAAGGCAGCCCCCUGGGCCAACACUGACGCUGAGGGCACGAAAGCGUGGGGAGCAAACAGG
Molecule: ribosomal RNA, 254 nt
Filed under: uncultured bacterium
Lineage: Bacteria
Description: partial 16S ribosomal RNA
Rfam family: Bacterial small subunit ribosomal RNA
Source: RNAcentral